UGGACUCACUACUGUAAGUCGCUCUGGAUAAGAGCGUCUGCUAAAUGACUGAAA
Salmo salar (Atlantic salmon) is the source of this 54-nucleotide non-coding RNA. The record is from Rfam. Lineage: Eukaryota; Metazoa; Chordata; Actinopteri; Salmoniformes; Salmonidae.